Tribonema minus is the source of this 72-nucleotide non-coding RNA. Lineage: Eukaryota; Xanthophyceae; Tribonematales; Tribonemataceae. The record is from the annotation of a GenBank genome assembly.
GAUUCGGUAGCUCAGCGGUAGAGCGUUCGAUUGCAGCUCGAAUGGUCACGCGUUCAAAUCGCGUCUGAAUCU